UACAGAGGUCUCAAGCGUUGUUCGGAUUCAUUGGGCGUAAAGGGUGCGUAGGCGGCGCGGUAAGUCGGGUGUGAAAUCUCGGAGCUUAACUCCGAAACUGCAUUCGAUACUGCCGUGCUUGAGGACUGGAGAGGAGACUGGAAUUUACGGUGUAGCGGUGAAAUGCGUAGAUAUCGUAAGGAAGACCAGUGGCGAAGGCGGUUGCCUGGGGCUUUGCUGACGCUGAGGCGCGAAAGCGUGGGGAGCGAUCCGG
RNAcentral lists this ribosomal RNA (253 nucleotides) under uncultured bacterium. Its description in RNAcentral is "partial 16S ribosomal RNA". It matches the Rfam family "Bacterial small subunit ribosomal RNA", at positions 524 to 776 of the family's 1533-position model. The record is from RNAcentral.